Long non-coding RNA from Cyprinus carpio carpio, 397 nucleotides. NCBI's taxonomy places the organism in Eukaryota, Metazoa, Chordata, Actinopteri, Cypriniformes, Cyprinidae. The record is from Ensembl.
UACUACUGACAAUUGUUUUUUGUAUUGUAAUGAAGAAGGCUUUUAUGACAACAAAAAUGGUGAUUUCUAAAAAUUAAACACUAAUUUAAUUCAUAGUUUUAUAUAUAUAUAUAUAUAUAUAUAUAUAUAUAGGUUAAGCACCUUCUCGUAAAUAUGGCUGUUUUCCAAGGGUUUUUUUUUUUUUAGGAUUUACAUUUUAAAAAAUUUGCCUACUUCAAACAUUUUAAGCAGCUUGAACAAAACCUGUUAAUAUUUAUUAUAGACCACUGUAACUGUCUAUAAUCUAAAAAAACAAGUUUAUUAUGAAAAUAAAAGUGUGUACACUAGUUAAAUUGGACGAUAAAGAAAUUGCUAACAAUAGUUGCAUGUUUUAAGUUUAUAGGUGUUUGGAUGCAGA